Molecule: ribosomal RNA, 253 nt
Filed under: uncultured bacterium
Lineage: Bacteria
Description: partial 16S ribosomal RNA
Rfam family: Bacterial small subunit ribosomal RNA
Source: RNAcentral
UACAGAGGGUGCAAGCGUCAAUCGGAGUUACUGGGCGUAAAGGGCGUGUAGGCGGUUUAAUAAGUGAGAUGUGAAAUCCCUGGGCUUAACCUAGGAACUGCAACUCAUACUGUUAGACUAGAGUAUUGUAGAGGGUAGCGGAAUUUCCGGUGUAGCGGUGAAAUGCGUAGAGAUCGGAAGGAACACCAGUGGCGAAGGCGGCUACCUGGACAAAUACUGACGCUGAGGCGCGAGAGCGUGGGGAGCAAACAGG